RNAcentral lists this long non-coding RNA (378 nucleotides) under Capsicum annuum. RNAcentral's name for it is "long non-coding RNA (CANN_LNC005556)". The record is from RNAcentral. Lineage: Eukaryota; Viridiplantae; Streptophyta; Magnoliopsida; Solanales; Solanaceae.
AAAGAAACAAUAAAAUGGAAACAAGAAUAAUGAGACAAGUGAUAAAAGGAUGAUGGUUCUUGAAGUGAACGGAUUUGGAGUCAAUUGUAUUAGGUGCAGGAGGGUUGUAAAAGUAGAAAGGGAAAUACGGUACAAUGGGGUUGGGAGGUGGUGGGAUUGGGUACAUAGAAGGGUUGGUUGGAGAAAAGUAGUAAUCACCAUUACCACCACCGCUACCUCCACCACUAUAAGGCGGGGUCAUAGGCUGAGAGCAGCCUCCCAGGCAAGGUUGUGGUGGUGAAGGAGGUGGUGGAAGUGACGGUGGUGGGGGGCAUGGAAGAGAUGGUGGCGGUGAUGGUGGUGGUGGAGAGAAGAUAGGCUGACAUGGGUUGUCACAAG